AUACGUAGGAUGCAAGCGUUGUCCGGAAUUACUGGGCGUAAAGGGUCCGUAGGCGGUUUGUUAAGUCUCCUGAGAAAGUUCAGGGCUCAACCCUGAAAUGUCGGGGGAUACUGGCAAACUUGAGACUGUCAGAGGCAAGUGGAAUUCCCGGUGUAGUGGUGAAAUGCGUAGAUAUCGGGAGGAACACCAGUGGCGAAAGCGGCUUGCUGGGACAGUUCUGACGCUGAGGGACGAAAGCGUGGGUAGCAAACCGGAUUAGAUACCCCAGUAGUCC
This 274-nucleotide ribosomal RNA is filed under the name uncultured bacterium. Its description in RNAcentral is "partial 16S ribosomal RNA". It matches the Rfam family "Bacterial small subunit ribosomal RNA", at positions 523 to 796 of the family's 1533-position model. The record is from RNAcentral.